GAUGAACGCUGGCGGCGUGCCUAAUACAUGCAAGUCGAGCGAACAGACGAGGAGCUUGCUCCUCUGACGUUAGCGGCGGACGGGUGAGUAACACGUGGAUAACCUACCUAUAAGACUGGGAUAACGUCGGGAAACCGGAGCUAAUACCGGAUAAUAUGUUGAACCGCAUGGUUCAAUAGUGAAAGACGGUUUUGCUGUCACUUAUAGAUGGAUCCGCGCCGCAUUAGCUAGUUGGUAAGGUAACGGCUUACCAAGGCGACGAUGCGUAGCCGACCUGAGAGGGUGAUCGGCCACACUGGAACUGAGACACGGUCCAGACUCCUACGGGAGGCAGCAGUAGGGAAUAUUCCGCAAUGGGCGAAAGCCUGACGGAGCAACGCCGCGUGAGUGAUGAAGGUCUUCGGAUCGUAAAACUCUGUUAUUAGGGAAGAACAAAUGUGUAAGUAACUAUGCACGUCUUGACGGUACCUAAUCAGAAAGCCACGGCUAACUACGUG
This 497-nucleotide ribosomal RNA is filed under the name uncultured bacterium. RNAcentral describes it as "partial 16S ribosomal RNA". It matches the Rfam family "Bacterial small subunit ribosomal RNA", at positions 28 to 507 of the family's 1533-position model. The record is from RNAcentral.